AUGGUGGCUCGAUCUGCGAUUUCUCGAUUGGCGGGGAUCGACUGUUUGCUCUUCGCAGUGAAGAGAAUGUAUUUGAUGUCUGGGAAACUCCUCCCCCACCAAUACUAUGAUGUCUCAAGAGUCCAGAGUUUUUUGGUCUGUCCUUUGAUAGAUGAUGUUAGGAUAUUAAAGAGAGUAUAUUGUACCACCUGAUUUUCUGAUCUGUAUACCUUAAUCAAAGUGACAGAAAUGGAAGUUAUUGCCAACCAAAAAA
Molecule: long non-coding RNA, 253 nt
Organism: Ipomoea nil (Japanese morning glory)
Lineage: Eukaryota; Viridiplantae; Streptophyta; Magnoliopsida; Solanales; Convolvulaceae
Exons: 2
Source: RefSeq, a predicted model, not a curated record